CGCCAAUAUGACAUGCAAAUAACAAUAAUAUCAUUUUCAUAAAACGUCAAAUAUAUAUUUUCAAUAUUUUUAUGAAAAUGUUUAGCCAGAAACAUCGCAAUAUUAUCUGUAUAUAUAAAAUUAAUUUUGUUUCGCUAUUUACAAGUAUCUAAUAAUAUAUCUUAUUCAUGGAAAGCGCAUAUACGUCUAAGCAUAUUGUAAUAUUUUUGUAAUUUGGAGAACCUUUAUCUAUUGUACAAUAUUUACGGUCUAUGGUAACGUGCGAUUCUGACAACGAUAAUAUUUAAUGUUUAUUUUUUAUAAAAUGUCAAAAUAACUAUAACGCAAAGAAAUUUAUUUUUAGAAAUUUACCUAUUAUGAUUAUUACAAUGUCAGGUCCGAUGUGCAAAUUGGUUGCGCGGGAGUCACGAAAGCAGGGAGGCGAGCAGACAGAAUAAUGGUCGCCGAGCAUUUUCCCUUGUUUAAGCUGGCGACGCAGAUAGCACGCCAGCUUAGUUCACCAGUGGCCAGUCGAGUUAAGGUUUAUGCGAAGUCACAUCCCCGCUUCAGCAUCGCCAUAUGUGAACGGGUUGCGAUAUUAUAUCAUGAAGCAGAGUGGCGCGCGCGCAUCGCAGCUUUGCGUCUUGCAGGAACCGCAUCACCCGCAUUGGUGGCUUCGCGUGCCCCGCCAAUGCCACGCCGACGAGCCCUGGAGCUAGGAGGAGAUCUUAUCGGUGAAAUUGUGAUAUUCUUAAUUGGUUCGAUGAUAGUAAUAUUCGAAGUUAACCGCCAAGCAGCAAUUAAGGAGGCUAAGUGAUUUAGCAGUUAGUCGGCAAUUAGCAGGCGUUAGAACACAAGUCGGAAUGGUUGUGUGUCAAGCUGUCUCUAGAGGAAGUGCAACGAGAAGUGCAGGCACAGCAGGUCGACCUGAACCGCCUCCAUGCUGCUCUUAAGGCCAUGUAUGAACCAACUCCACCCGCUCCUAGCAGUCCAAACACAUAAGCCAAGAGAAGAAAAAACAUGGUUAUCAAUACCAGACCCAUUGCCCAGAAGUACGAGGUUUUUAAUGGUCUUGCGUCGGAGCGAAAAAAAUGGCGGCGGUCAAUCAUCUUAAAAUCUGGAAUAGAUAUAUAAAUAAAUAUUAAGGUAUCAUGGUUAAAAUCGGCUAAGGGCACACCCUUAAUAAUAAUGUAAUAAUUACAAAGAUGGAACGCUGUAUUUUAAAGGAGAAUAUAUGGCCAGUAAAAACGGACCCGACAUUAAAUGUCUAUGAUAAAAAUGGUAGCUUCUCUAAAAAUUUAGUCUUACCAAGUACCAGUACAUAUACCUCCAAUACUUGCCAGCGCUAAUAUUUUCAUAAAAAAGCUUAUCGUAAUAAUUGCACCCUCAGUAUUGUUUCUCGCACGCUGAAACUUUCUGAAAACUAUUUAAUGAUACGAAGUAAAUACAAUCUGUAGUUUUAAUAUUAUAUAAUUUACAAAUGUAUCAAAUUAUAAACAGUAUCUUCUAUAACAUAAGUAAUAAUAGUUAAUAUACAUUAGUACGUAUCGCAAAAAUUAAACAGUUU
Long non-coding RNA from Pieris napi, 1546 nucleotides. RefSeq lists it as uncharacterized. NCBI's taxonomy places the organism in Eukaryota, Metazoa, Arthropoda, Insecta, Lepidoptera, Pieridae. The record is from RefSeq and is a predicted model, not a curated record. The transcript has 4 exons.